Molecule: ribosomal RNA, 489 nt
Filed under: uncultured bacterium
Lineage: Bacteria
Description: partial 16S ribosomal RNA
Rfam family: Bacterial small subunit ribosomal RNA
Source: RNAcentral
AUUGAACGCUGGCGGCAGGCCUAACACAUGCAAGUCGAACGGUAACAGAAAGCAGCUUGCUGCUUUGCUGACGAGUGGCGGACGGGUGAGUAAUGUCUGGGAAGCUGCCUGAUGGAGGGGGAUAACUACUGGAAACGGUAGCUAAUACCGCAUAACGUCGCAAGACCAAAGAGGGGGACCUUCGGGCCUCUUGCCAUCGGAUGUGCCCAGAUGGGAUUAGCUUGUUGGUGGGGUAACGGCUCACCAAGGCGACGAUCCCUAGCUGGUCUGAGAGGAUGACCAGCCACACUGGAACUGAGACACGGUCCAGACUCCUACGGGAGGCAGCAGUGGGGAAUAUUGCACAAUGGGCGCAAGCCUGAUGCAGCCAUGCCGCGUGUAUGAAGAAGGCCUUCGGGUUGUAAAGUACUUUCAGCGGGGAGGAAGGGAGUAAAGUUAAUACCUUUGCUCAUUGACGUUACCCGCAGAAGAAGCACCGGCUAACUCCGU